This is a non-coding RNA of Python bivittatus (Burmese python), 426 nucleotides long. The record is from the annotation of a RefSeq genome assembly. Lineage: Eukaryota; Metazoa; Chordata; Lepidosauria; Squamata; Pythonidae.
CAAAGAUUGAGUGCCUCUCUGAAUGUUUUCCCAUCAGUAAGACUCCUCCGAUCUUUAGAGCAAGCAAAAAUGACACCUUGGAUGAACCUGAUAUUGUUAUUGUUAAUCCUACAAGGUGUCCAGUCAGAGGUCCAGUUGGUGAAAUCUGGAGGGGAUGUGAGAAGACCUGGAGAAUCCCUCCGCCUCUCCUGCCAAGGCUCUGGAUUCACCUUCAGCAGCUAUGGCAUGAGCUGGGUGAGGCAAUAUCCAGGGAAAGGCCUGGAAUGGGUGGCAUACAUAAGCUCUGGUUCCAGCAGUAUUAACUACUCAGACAAGGUCAAGGGACGCUUCACCAUCUCCCGGGACAAUGCCAAAAGCCAGCUGUAUCUGCAAAUGAACAACCUCAAGUUGGAGGACACGGGACUCUAUUACUGUGCAGGAAACACA